RNAcentral lists this ribosomal RNA (434 nucleotides) under uncultured Spirochaetaceae bacterium. RNAcentral describes it as "bacterial SSU rRNA". It matches the Rfam family "Bacterial small subunit ribosomal RNA", at positions 950 to 1382 of the family's 1533-position model. Lineage: Bacteria; Pseudomonadati; Spirochaetota; Spirochaetia; Spirochaetales; Spirochaetaceae. The record is from RNAcentral.
UUCGAUGGUACGCGAGGAACCUUACCUGGUUGACAUACAGGGGAGUGUGGCAGCGAUGUCACAGACUGGAAACAGUACCCUGUACAGGUGCUGCAUGGCUGUCGUCAGCUCGUGCCGUGAGGUGUUGGGUUAAGUCCCGCAACGAGCGCAACUCCUACUGCCAGUUACUAACAGGUAACGCUGAGGACUCUGGCGGAACUGCCGGUGACAAACCGGAGGAAGGUGGGGAUGACGUCAAGUCAUCAUGGCCCCUAUGUCCAGGGCUACACACGUGCUACAAUGGCGCAUACAGAGGGCAGCGAAGCCGUGAGGUGGAGCGAAUCUUGUCAAAGUGCGCCUCAAUUCGGAUUGCAGUCUGCAACUCGACUGCAUGAAGUUGGAAUCGCUAGUAAUCGCGGAUCAGCAAAGCCGCGGUGAAUACGUUCCCGGGCCUU